Molecule: long non-coding RNA, 532 nt
Organism: Oncorhynchus masou masou (cherry salmon)
Lineage: Eukaryota; Metazoa; Chordata; Actinopteri; Salmoniformes; Salmonidae
Exons: 3
Source: RefSeq, a predicted model, not a curated record
GCGGGCUUAAAGGCUUCACACUGCAGACACCGCCCAUCCAGGAAGUCGCUGUAGGAGGAGCAAGGGUAGCCUGUGAGGCUGCAGGUCCGGUUGAGAGCACACAGGUAAAGGAACACAGAGCGCUGGUGGUCACACACGAAAUACGACUUCCCUACGAAAGAGAAAAGCUGGAAAAGCCGUAGAAGCAUUAAGACGCGGAUCAGUGAGCACCGCCGCAUAUACGGACAGGAAGUGUCACUGAGUACUGCCCAUAUAUAUAGGACCUUCCACCCCAACCUGGGAUGUGGAUGCCUGAUGAAGACCUACGUGUCAAAAACAUUCUUAUAAUAAAAUCACCUGGGAACAUGAGCAGCAGUGUGCUGUGUUUUAAUUAUUAUUAUUUUUUUAUAUUAUUUUUUUUAGCUUUUUCAGCUCUGUUUCACCUAGUCAAGGGCUUGAUGAUUAGUUGACAAGUUGAAUCAGGUGUGCUAGCUGUGGAAUAGAUGAAAUACAUGGAACGGCUGGAAGUCCCGGGGGAGAGGUUGGAGAAACA